Molecule: ribosomal RNA, 460 nt
Filed under: uncultured bacterium
Lineage: Bacteria
Description: partial 16S ribosomal RNA
Rfam family: Bacterial small subunit ribosomal RNA
Source: RNAcentral
CCUACGGGGGGCAGCAGUGAGGAAUAUUGGUCAAUGGACGAGAGUCUGAACCAGCCAAGUCGCGUGAAGGAUGACUGCCCUAUGGGUUGUAAACUUCUUUUAUAAAGGAAUAAAACGAGGCACGUGUGCCUUUUUGCAUGUACUUUAUGAAUAAGGAUCGGCUAACUCCGUGCCAGCCGCCGCGGUAAUACGGAGGAUCCGAGCGUUAUCCGGAUUUGUUGGGUUUAAAGGGAGCGUAGAUGGGUUGUUAAGUCAGUUGUGAAAGUUUGCGGCUCAACCGUAAAAUUGCAAUUGAUACUGGCAGUCUUGAGUACAGUUGAGGUAGGCGGAAUUCGUGGUGUAGCGGUGAAAUGCUUAGAUAUCACGAAGAACCCCGAUUGCGAAGGCAGCUUACUAAACUGUGACUGACAUUGAUGCUCGAAAGUGUGGGUAUCAAACAGGAUUAGAUACCCCGGUAGUC